CAGCCGCCGCGGUAAUACCGGCGGCCCGAGUGGCGGUCACUAUUAUUGGGCUUAAAGCGUCCGUAGCCGGGUUGGGAAAGCCUCCGGGAAAUCUGGCCGCUUAACGGUCAGAAUGCCGGAGGAUACUCCCAGCCUAGGGAGCGGGAGAGGCCGAGGGUAUUCCCGGAGUAGGGGUGAAAUCCUAUAAUCCCGGGAGGACCACCUGUGGCGAAGGCGCUCGGCUGGAACGCGUCCGACGGUGAGGGACGAAGGCCAGGGGAGCAAACCGGAUUAGAUACCCGGGUAGUCCUGGCUGUAAACGAUGCGGACUUUGUGUCGGACAAGCUAUGAGCUUGUCCGGUGCCGGAGGGAAACCGUUAAGUCCGCCGCCUGGGGAGUACGGCCGCAAGGCUGAAACUUAAAGGAAUUGGCGGG
RNAcentral lists this ribosomal RNA (414 nucleotides) under uncultured microorganism. RNAcentral's name for it is "bacterial SSU rRNA". It matches the Rfam family "Archaeal small subunit ribosomal RNA", at positions 459 to 872 of the family's 1478-position model. The record is from RNAcentral.